This is a long non-coding RNA of Patella vulgata (common limpet), 3419 nucleotides long. RefSeq lists it as uncharacterized. The record is from RefSeq and is a predicted model, not a curated record. NCBI's taxonomy places the organism in Eukaryota, Metazoa, Mollusca, Gastropoda, Patellidae. The transcript is spliced from 6 exons.
GAGAAAAUAUGGGUUUAUCUGAAAGGCUUCACUGAAGCAUGGUGUUUAUAUAUUAUAUUGUGCAUGUUAUUUUCAUAUGACUAAGAAUAAUAUGGUGUCGUGUAUUUUUCUUUGUUAACAUGUAUUUUAAUGCAGGUGCGUACUGAGUUACAGAAUAUACCAGAUCUCUGAUCAGAAAAUGUCUCUGAAAGUUCUCCUGUUUGGCUCAAUUAUAGGCGUAACCAACGUAGUCAACGCAAAAAAGGAAGAUCUAUUCAAAGGGUGUACAAGUUAUAUUAAUGACACCAACCAAUGUAUGACUGAAUAUCCCGUAUUCACUGACGUUAAUAAAUCACGUCAACAAAUUUUGACUCCUAUUACCUUGAAUGCUUCGAUGGUGUGUAGCAAUAAGACAGAAUACGUAUCGCUGAUGACCUGUAUUCGAGGUGCCAUGAGCAAAUGUCUCUCGGAGGAAUUUAAUAGCAUUUUUCCUUCAGCGAAAGCUUAUGUUACAAACUACUUGUAUUUUUGCCAGAACAAUGAAUAUUUUCACUUGAAAUGUGCGAUAGAAAUUAGUCGAGCAAGCUUGGGAUGUAUUCUUGAAAAUGUUAACAUGAUAAACGUACCCACCCUCGACGAUGGGUUCAAUAAAUGGAAAGACUACGCAUGCAGAUCUAUAGAAAUUGGCAAUGAGUGUUUUGUCGAGAAAAUCUCAUCCGAAUCCUGUCGGAGUACAUUUGAAAUAAUGACGGAUAUGAAUCAAGUAUUAAUACCACCGGUUUGUUCUACUGUUAAUGUUACCACCGAUAACCCUAAUAAUAGUGUCAACAUAAAUAAUAAUAACGUUAUCUUGUUCAUGGUUGGCCUUGUAAUAGGUGUAUUUGGUCAUGGAAUAUAUUUUCCUAUCUAAUUAGUAAAUCUAUUGUAUAUUAUCAUGAAAUAUUUCAUUAGUAAAUCUAUUGCAUUUUAUCAUGAAAUAUAUUUUACUAUCUAUUAUCAUGAUAUAUUGUUUGGAUAGUCUAUUGUAUAUUAUAAUGAUAUAUAUUUGGAUAUAUAAUUUAUUGUCAUUAUAUAUUAUAUAAUGUAAUCUAUUGUAUAUUAUCGUGCUAUAUGUUUUACAAUAUAUUGUUAUCUAAUUCUUUGGGGUUUCUUUUGUCGUGGUAUCUGUUAUGUCAUGGUAUAUUUUUGGUCAUGGUAUAUGUUUUGUCAUGGUAUAUGUUUUGUCAUGGUAUAUGUUUUGUCAUGGUAUAUGUUUUUGUCAUGGUAUCUGUUUUGUCAUGGUACAUGUUUUGUCAUGGUAUAUGUUUUGUCAUGGUAUAUGUUUUUGUCAUGGUAUAUGUUUUGUCAUGGUACAUGUUUUUGUCAUGGUAUAUGUUUUGUCAUGGUAUAUGUUUUUUGUCAUGGUAUAUGUUUUGUCAUGGUACAUGUUUUUGUCAUGGUAUAUGUUUUGUCAUGGUAUAUGUUUUUGUCAUGGUAUAUGUUUUUGUCAUGGUAUAUUACAAAAUUAUAAGUAUAUUGUUUAAAAUUAAAAUUAUAUAAAGAGUUUGAUAAUUAUUAUAUAAAUCUUUAAAUUACAAGGAAGAAUGUAUAUCAUCAAAGAACCGUGUAGUGUAGCUACAAAUGUGCCAACUCCAAGACGCCCUCACUCGUUCCGUCUCGCCUAGCCGCCUCUUCGUCGAUUCGUUUGUAUUCUGGGUUUGUAAACCCUUCUAGACGAAGGAUGUCAAAAGAUUACACAUCUGGCCAUUGCCCGAUCAAGUCUUCGGUACAGAUUGCUUUACCAGACAAAGGCCUUGCGUUAGUCGUGUCAAGCUAGUGCCAUGUUUGAUCAUCUGAUAAGAUUGCUAAUUGAUUUCAAUGUAUGGAGGAUUUUAAGUGAUAUUUCCUCAAUUGUGUAACAGUCUGUCUGAUUGUCCAUCCGUCCGUCUGUCUGUCCGUCACACAUUUUGGGACACAAUAACUCUCUUUCGAAUUAGCUAGAAUGUUCACACGUGGUGUAAGUGUUCAUUAGGUCAAUGCCUUGAUGGAGUUCGAAGAUGAGCAUUUUCUGCUUAGGGUAUGCAGAGAUAAGCAAUUUGAUUGGUUGAUGCUUUGGGGCACGAUAGAGAGUGAUCGAUCUUAGUGUAUAGUUGAUAAUCAGUUUGAUUGCUUGAUACUUUUGAAAAAAAUAAAUGUGCUAUUAAUUAAUAUGUGUCAUCUAUUUAUUUUUUGAUUUCGGCGGUGGACAUCAGCCUCACUGUUGGCUUGUUAAUUAUGGAAUGGGUUUUAAUUGGAGAGAGAGAGAGAAUUAGGGUUUAACGUCCACUCGACACAAACUAGGUCAUUUCGGGACUAACACAUGGUUCAAUUUUAUUUCUAUAAUUUGCUUGAGCGUAGGGGUCUUUAGCAGUGAGAGGAAACCGGAGGACCCGGAGAAAAUCCACGAGGUUGGACAGGUCACCCUAUUCCUUGUCGAGUACAACCGGGGAUUCGAAACCACGCCAGUUGACUCAAUGACAGACCUUAUGAUACAGCACGCACGUGCUAAACAUUCGGCCAUCCAAUCCCCCAGGAUUUAAUUGGUAUCAUUAUCAUUCGUGCAGUGUCUGUUUAAAGAUGGGUUCCCGCGUACAAACUGGGUGAUUUAAUGGUAUAUAUGGACUAAAAACAUAUUCAAAUUAAUUAAUUUGUCAUAGUUAUACUUCAAAUCCUUCUCAAACAUUGUAAUUGCGAAGGAAUGCCCUGCUAUUAAAAUUCGAUCAAACCAGGUCAGGUUUACGUCACGUCUUGGAAAUCAGCGGAGAAUUCAUUGCAUACAUAAGACGAUGUUGUCUUUAAUCGCUUACUAUUUAUUACAAAUAUCGAAUCCUAAUUAAAUUCUCGGAUUAUCCACUACCCGCGUCUUUUUCCGUCAUUUUUAUCUCAGAAAGUGUUGUACGUCUAACUCUUCAUAAAAUUUAUCAACUUGUACAUCAAGCGCUCAAUGUUCGCGUGUGACCUUUGACAUCACGCGUGCAGAAAUUCUUAAUCGUCGGGCUGUUGAAUAGGGGAACCCUUACAUUUUUGUCCUGUAUACGCUCCAUGAGUGUUUUCGGGGAAUCCAGUAUUUUUCUAGUAAGAUUGGAUAUCUCUACUUUCCAUAUAUACCAAAAUUGCCAUACUUUUAUUGGAAAUAACCACCCGAUAAAUACUUUUCUGGGAACCCAUAUAUAAGAAAUCCUGCAAUUCGUAUGUCAACGGGAAGAUUUAUUAAUUAAAGCUGUAAAUUUCCUAACUAUCUUUUACGUCUUACUAAUUGCCACUUUUAUUUUAGGAUUUUAAUUCGUUUUUAUUAUUCAAAGACUUUUUAUUUGUAUAAUUCAUUGAUCUUUUAUAUGAAAUGCUUUACCGAACAAUGGUGUUAAUGUAUUGUAUUGUGCAUGUUGUUUUCAUAUGACCAAGAAGGUAAGCCAAUGUUGUCC